This is a non-coding RNA of Equus caballus (horse), 894 nucleotides long. The record is from RefSeq and is a predicted model, not a curated record. NCBI's taxonomy places the organism in Eukaryota, Metazoa, Chordata, Mammalia, Perissodactyla, Equidae.
CCGCCGCUAGCCGGCAGAGCGCCGAGCGAGCGCGCAUCACAUAGUGGCGCGGGCCCACCCGGCCUUUGUGCCGCGUGACCGCCCAACCGACCGGGGGUGGGGGUGGGGGAUCGACGGUUAUUGUUCCCCGAGGGGAGGGACAUGCUCAGACUCGGGGUCCACGCUGGCCGCCUCCCCAGAGCGUCCCCAGGUUCGAGGACGGCUGUGGGCUUCCUUUGUGUGUUCUCUGCCUGCCGCAGGCGUCGGUGCUGCCCCCAGGGGCGGCAGACGGGGGUGAGGGAGGUUGGUGCCAGCUCUGCCGCUGCCUCGAGCUCAGCUCGUCCGACCCAGUUUCCAGCUUGGCCCUUCCUGAGGAGGGUGGGGAGGGACGUGGUGUUUGUAGGGCAGCCUUUGAACAAUAGAACCAUCAAAAGACCUUCUCCCCGUCUGCUCCUCCAGAAAGGCCCUGGCCCAACAGGUCCUCUUAGCCUCGUUUUAUGCCUCCUUCCUCAGCACAAACAUUUCAUCUCUAUCAAGAUAUCGUUCUUCCAUAAAAAUAAUCCAGACUAGCUAUAGGAACCACUCAAGAUAUUUUGCCACAAGAUCUAGGACAAGAGGACUCACGGAGUAUCUCCCACCUUGUGGGUCUCUUGGGGUCCCUUCACCUGCUUCUGCUCCUGAAGAUGGUUGGACAUCCAUCCACCUUGCCUCUUCUGGCUGGACCUGGCCUGAAACUGAGUCUUUUGGAUUGUCUUUCUACUUUUCCAACUUGCCAAAUUUCUGAAAGAAGGACCAAAGUAAAGCCAAGAACUCCCAGAUGAAGAGGACCUUCCUGGAUUUGUAACAGGGAUUAACCAAUUCUUGAUUUCAGGAGGAAGUUUCAGCUAAUUCUCAGGAUAAAGUCAAAACAGGCCU